AGGGGGGUAGCUCAUUGGGAGAGCAUCUUCUUGGCAUGCAGAGGGUCCUGGUUUCAACCCCCAGCCUCUCUA
Molecule: transfer RNA, 72 nt
Filed under: Sphaerodactylus townsendi
Lineage: Eukaryota; Metazoa; Chordata; Lepidosauria; Squamata; Sphaerodactylidae
Description: tRNA-Ala
Rfam family: tRNA
About the family: Transfer RNA (tRNA) molecules are approximately 80 nucleotides in length.
Source: RNAcentral